ACGCAGUCUAGUUAGCAAUUAUACAGCGAAACUGCGAAUGGCUCAUUAUAUAAGUUAUCGUUUAUUUGAUAGUACCUUACUACUUGGAUAACCGUGGUAAUUCUAGAGCUAAUACAUGCUAAAAAUCCCGACUUACGAAGGGAUGUAUUUAUUAGAUUAAAAACCAAUGCCCUUCGGGGCUCACUGGUGAUUCAUAAUAACUUCUCGAAUCGCAUGGCCUUGCGCCGGCGAUGGUUCAUUCAAAUUUCUUCCCUAUCAACUUUCGAUGCUAGAGUAGUGUUCUAGCAUGGUUACAACGGGUAACGGAGGGUUAGGGCUCGACCCCGGAGAAGGAGCCUGAGAAACGGCUACUACAUCCAAGGAAGGCAGCAGGCGCGCAAAUUACCCAAUCCCGACACGGGGAGGUAGUGACGAUAAAUACUGAUACAGGGCUCUUUUGGGUCUUGUAAUUGGAAUGAGUACAAUUUAAAUCCCUUAACGAGGAACAAUUGGAGGGCAAGUCUGGUGCCAGCAGCCGCGGUAAUUCCAGCUCCAAUAGCGUAUAUUAAAGUUGUUGUGGUUAAAAAGCUCGUAGUAGAACCUUGGGCCUGGCUGGCCGGUCCGCCUCACCGCGUGCACUGGUCCGGCCGGGCCUUUCCCCCUGUGGAACCUCAUGCCCUUCACUGGGUGUGUGGGAAAACAGGACUUUUACUUUGAAAAAAUUAGAGUGCUCCAGGCAGGCCUAUGCUCGAAUACAUUAGCAUGGAAUAAUAGAAUAGGGACGUGUGGUUCUAUUUUUGUUGGUUUCUAGGACCGCCGUAAUGAUUAAUAGGGACAGUCGGGGGCAUCAGUAUUCAAUUGUCAGAGGUGAAAUUCUUGGAAUUUAUUGAAGACUAACUACUGCGAAAGCAUUUUGCCAAGGAUGUUUUCAUUUAUCAGGAACGAAAGUUAAGGGGAUCGAAGACGAUCAGAAUACCGUCGUAGUCUUAACCAUAAACUAUGCCGACUAGGGGAUCGGAAGAAGUUAUUUUUUGACUCGUUCGGACCUUACAAAAAUCAAGUG
RNAcentral lists this ribosomal RNA (1042 nucleotides) under Colletotrichum truncatum. RNAcentral's name for it is "SSU rRNA". It matches the Rfam family "Eukaryotic small subunit ribosomal RNA", at positions 55 to 1105 of the family's 1831-position model. The record is from RNAcentral. Lineage: Eukaryota; Fungi; Ascomycota; Sordariomycetes; Glomerellales; Glomerellaceae.